RNAcentral lists this ribosomal RNA (315 nucleotides) under uncultured bacterium. Its description in RNAcentral is "bacterial SSU rRNA". It matches the Rfam family "Bacterial small subunit ribosomal RNA", at positions 28 to 334 of the family's 1533-position model. The record is from RNAcentral.
GGUGAACGCUGGCGGCGUGCCUAAUACAUGCAAGUCGAGCGAACGGAUAAGGAGCUUGCUCCUUUGAAGUUAGCGGCGGACGGGUGAGUAACACGUGGGUAACCUACCUAUAAGACUGGAAUAACUUCGGGAAACCGGAGCUAAUGCCGGAUAACAUUUGGACCGUAUGGUUCUAAAGUAAAGAUGGUUUUGCUAUCACUUAUAGAUGGACCCGCGCCGUAUUAGCUAGUUGGUAAGGUAACGGCUUACCAAGGCAACGAUACGUAGCCGACCUGAGAGGGUGAUCGGCCACACUGGAACUGAGACACGGUCCAG